This 30-nucleotide non-coding RNA is filed under the name Rattus norvegicus (Norway rat). Lineage: Eukaryota; Metazoa; Chordata; Mammalia; Rodentia; Muridae. The record is from RNAcentral.
UGCACACAGUUUUCAUCUGAUAUUGUACUG